UACAGGGGGUGCAAACGUUGCUCGGAAUCAUUGGGCGUAAAGCGCACGUAGGCGGUCUGUUAUGUCGGAUGUGAAAGCCCUUGGCUCAACUGAGGAAGUGCAUCCGAAACUGGCAGGCUAGGGUACUAAAGAGGGUCGCGGAAUUCCCGGUGUAGAGGUGAAAUUCGUAGAUAUCGGGAGGAACACCGGUGGCGAAGGCGGCGACCUGGGUAGAUACUGACGCUGAGGUGCGAAAGCGUGGGGAGCAAACAGG
This 253-nucleotide ribosomal RNA is filed under the name uncultured bacterium. RNAcentral describes it as "partial 16S ribosomal RNA". It matches the Rfam family "Bacterial small subunit ribosomal RNA", at positions 524 to 776 of the family's 1533-position model. The record is from RNAcentral.